RNAcentral lists this ribosomal RNA (434 nucleotides) under uncultured bacterium. RNAcentral describes it as "bacterial SSU rRNA". It matches the Rfam family "Bacterial small subunit ribosomal RNA", at positions 449 to 884 of the family's 1533-position model. The record is from RNAcentral.
AAGUGAGCCACGUGUGGCUUUUUGUAUGUACCAUACGAAUAAGGAUCGGCUAACUCCGUGCCAGCAGCCGCGGUAAUACGGAGGAUCCAAGCGUUAUCCGGAUUUAUUGGGUUUAAAGGGAGCGUAGGCGGAUUAUUAAGUCAGUUGUGAAAGUUUGCGGCUCAACCGUAAAAUUGCAGUUGAUACUGGUAGUCUUGAGUGCAGCAGAGGUAGGCGGAAUUCGUGGUGUAGCGGUGAAAUGCUUAGAUAUCACGAAGAACUCCGAUUGCGAAGGCAGCUUACUGGACUGUAACUGACGCUGAUGCUCGAAAGUGUGGGUAUCAAACAGGAUUAGAUACCCUGGUAGUCCACACAGUAAACGAUGAAUACUCGCUGUUUGCGAUAUACAGCAAGCGGCCAAGCGAAAGCAUUAAGUAUUCCACCUGGGGAGUACG